CACAUGCAAGUCGAACGGACACGACCUCUAGCUUGCUAGAGGAAACGGUUAGUGGCGAACGGGUGAGUAACGCGUGGGAAUGUACCUUAUAGUAUGGGACAACAGUUGGAAACGACUGCUAAUACCGUAUACGCUCUUCGGAGGAAAGAUUUAUCGCUAUAAGAUCAGCCCGCGUUGGAUUAGUUAGUUGGUGAGGUAAUGGCUUACCAAGGCUACGAUCUAUAGCUGGUCUGAGAGGAUGAUCAGCCACACUGGAACUGAGACACGGUCCAGACUCCUACGGGAGGCAGCAGUGGGGAAUAUUGGACAAUGGGCGAAAGCCUGAUCCAGCCAUGCCGCGUGAGUGAUGAAGGCCUUAGGGUUGUAAAACUCUUUCAGUAGGGAAGAUAAUGACGGUACCUACAGAAGAAGCCCCGGCUAACUUC
RNAcentral lists this ribosomal RNA (425 nucleotides) under uncultured bacterium. RNAcentral's name for it is "bacterial SSU rRNA". It matches the Rfam family "Bacterial small subunit ribosomal RNA", at positions 52 to 504 of the family's 1533-position model. The record is from RNAcentral.